Molecule: long non-coding RNA, 2718 nt
Organism: Bactrocera tryoni
Lineage: Eukaryota; Metazoa; Arthropoda; Insecta; Diptera; Tephritidae
Exons: 5
Source: RefSeq, a predicted model, not a curated record
CUGGGCAUGAGUCAUCAAAAAUUCAUUUCAAUUUCAAUAAAAAUACCGCAAGACUUUUUUGACAACCCAUUACUUUGUAAGAUAACUCAAAUUUCGUUUUUCCGUGAUUAGAUAUCUAACAACUUCGCUUCCAACUCAAAUGGCUGUCACAUACUAAGGCAAAAGGAAUUGCUAUAAUUGCAAAAUAAUCGUAUUUUCACGUUCAAAGGAAGUUCAUCGGUCGAUUUGGAACAGGCAUACAUCCACAUUUCUUAUCAUCGUCACAGUUGUGUGAUUCACAAAGCACUUGCAAAAGCAAAAGUAGCAAUUUGAAAGUCAAAAGAAACAAAUAUUCCUUUCCAAUGUGAAUGAUGAGUUGCAGUACUCAGCUUCUAUUGUAUUAUCCCGAUGCCUUGCAUUAAUCUUCUUAGUUGUUUUUGCAUAUGAUUUAGUAAACAUAACAGUGAGUUCUUCCUAAGCUCAAUAUGGAGGUACGCCUGUAUGAAGUAAGGAGCGAGGUGCGAUAGGUUAUUGGUUAUACUUUAUUUACACACAUAUGUACAUAUAUCGAGACAGUAUACAAAUAUUCAAGUAUUUCAAUAAUAAACUCUUCUUCUAGCUCAAAAAUAUCCAUUUACAUAUACAGCGGUACAUAUAUAUGAUGAGACAAUAACCGGUGUGUUUAACGUGGGCUGACGAUAGUCUUACCCCAUGGCGCUUAAUAAUCGAGUGGAUCAAAUCAAUGCCUUCCUCAGCGCCCCGAGAAUACGGAGCCAAUUGCAAGUGUGGAAUGGAUACACUAACCACUUUGGAAGGAUUUGAGGUCCAUCUGAAACUUCUUCCGUACUUUGGGUUUGGCACCCAGUUGCAAUGCAACUCCACGUUGAACUAACACGAGGUCAGUUCCUCCGCAUUCGGUUAUUAAACCACAACUAUCACGAUACUCUCCGAAAUGCCGUGCUGCAUGAGCAGGUUGAAACGAGCUCUAAACAGGAAGCAGGAGCCUCCCGUGUUACCAGAAUUAAGUCUCCGGUCAGAUCUCGUAGCCGAAACUACUGCCAGUUGAAAUUUCAUACUUCUCUGGAGUGAUGAUUAGGGGUUGUACCAACAGUUACAUUGCACGAACACACCAUUUCCACAAGAAGAUAGCCCUAAUUCUUAGUUAAGCGCCUUCGCUGUCUAAACUACUCACGCACCAGUCUAAUUCUUCGGAGAUCGGUAAUGACUGAGCACUUUGGACACUCCGUGAUCACAUGCACUCAAAAAAUGCAAUUCAAUGGCGAAAAUUGUAAAGUUUUCGACGUUUGUUAACUCAGCAAUAGUGCAAUGAUGAACUUGAUUCAAUGUUUAGCGAUGGGCAUAGAUCACUCAAAACAUCGAUUUGAUAAGUCAUCUACCGUAUAGUCUUGACUUGGCACCGAAUGACUUAUUUUGAACUAAGUGGCCGACGUUUUUCGACUCCUGAAGAGUGGUAAAAAUGCUUCAACAGUUGGCUUAAGCCCAUGUAAAAGUGUAUAGAUCUUAAUGAAGAUUUUGAUAAACAAUUUUUUCACUUAAGUAUUAACAUUUGUUUUCGUUUUCUAAUUGCUGUCAUCUAGAAGAAUUUUACUCCCUAGGUAUCCCCGCAUCUCCAUAUGAUCAUCGGAAAUCCGGCAAUUCUGCAUCAAUAAUACACUUAAUCAGAACAAGGGAAGAUGUACCUAAUAAAACCUGCAUCGCAUCCAUUGAAACGAAGUGACAUACAGUUAAAAUAAGCUAAUUCACAUAUUGGGCGAUGCAUAUACAUAAAGUAAUUGAUACCUAAUGGGACUGAAGGGAUUGACUCGAUUCAACGCACUUUUCACACAGACAUACCAUUGUCAGGAAAAGACGAUCCCUGAAUUUUAAUUCUAUAUGUCACACACCUACCGAUAUUUUCGGUAACUUUAGUGGUCUGAAGUAUCAGCUACUACACAUGAGAAUGAUGAACAAUGUUAUUGACCACUUUAGCGUAAGCACCGCUGCACGGAACGCUGAUAACCAACACAAGCACUUCUGAUUUAAUAUAACACAAUUCCAUCUAUAUAAAAUUAAACGUCAACUUACUGACGGAGGCAUCGAUGGUCACCUUUGACUUAAAUACAACAACAACACAUCCCUAGGUAUAAGAUGGCAGCGCAAUAAAAGCCACAGCAAGUGGACUGUUGAGCGUAUUGCAGCAACUUCUGCCUGCAGUCAACUCCUGGCAGCGCUCCGUUAGCUACUUUCGGCGCCAGCUACAAGCUGUGGCAUUGACAUCUGUCCGACAUUUAAUGUGCGUAAUCGUAACAGGUACCGUUAAACAGAUGGGUUGCUGUCAAGAUCAAGUGAUGGCUUAUGUUCGUACUUAGCUUAGUGUAAAUUUAUUGGCGUCUCUCGCAAGACGACAGGCAAUUAUGUGUGCUUCACACAUGCAAGUACUUACACUUCCACAUAUUAUAAUACACAAACAAGCCUACGCAUUUACUUGCAAGCCAUCAUCUUCGUAGCUCAGCCUUCCGGUACGUGAUAUAAUUUUUGGCAGCCAUGCCGGAAGAUGGAUUAUGAAAUAUAGAUGGGUGGAGGGUGAAGAUCUGUGAUGGCACACGAUACACGUGUUGAAAAAGUGAUGGUAUACCAAUGUAAAAUCAUUAUAACCAAAGUUACUUAUUAAUGUUGUUACUUCCUUUUGUAUCUGGCAUAUUAUUUUUAAGAUUUUCUCACAAGAAUAAAACGAGUUAU